GUUACUCAGCUGCAAGGUUUAUCUAUACCACUACAUCAUAUCUGAAUCGUAACGGUGAACUUGAAUUGUCUUAGCGCUGUGAAAAUAGCAGUUGAAAAAAUCGGGAUGAUAAUCGUUACUCUAUGGUAUGUUUCUUCUUUGAAAAUCGUAAUUUUGUUUAUCGGAUAAUAGUAACUGAAACAUAAUAAAUGUGUCUUUCAGCAUUUCUAUUGUAUUUUGUGUGUUGAAAAUGCAAAUGCCCAGUUUAACGAUGACAUUGGUGCAUAUAAAAAUAAAUAAAGAAACUU
RNAcentral lists this long non-coding RNA (287 nucleotides) under Mytilus galloprovincialis (Mediterranean mussel). The record is from RNAcentral. Lineage: Eukaryota; Metazoa; Mollusca; Bivalvia; Mytilida; Mytilidae.